RNAcentral lists this ribosomal RNA (253 nucleotides) under uncultured bacterium. RNAcentral's name for it is "partial 16S ribosomal RNA". It matches the Rfam family "Bacterial small subunit ribosomal RNA", at positions 524 to 776 of the family's 1533-position model. The record is from RNAcentral.
UACGGGGGGAGCAAGCGUUGUUCGGAUUUACUGGGCGUAAAGGGCGCGUAGGCGGUCUUGCAAGUCCUGUGUGAAAUCCCUCGGCUCAACUGAGGAACUGCACAGGAAACUGCUUGGCUUGAGUUCGGGAGAGGGAAGCGGAAUUCCGGGUGUAGCGGUGAAAUGCGCAGAUAUCAGGAGGAACACCGGUGGCGAAGGCGGGUCUCUGGGCCACUACUGACGCUGAGAAGCGAAAGCAUGGGGAGCGAACAGG